CGCCGUCGCGCGGGAGAGUUCCGGGCAGAUCUGUAUGUGCUGCCCGGGCGCCGAAGGAGCAGCACCUCCCCGUCAAUCUCUCAGGCACCCAGGACCGUGCGGGCUCC
Molecule: non-coding RNA, 107 nt
Filed under: Rhodococcus (subgen. Prescottella) equi
Lineage: Bacteria; Bacillati; Actinomycetota; Actinomycetes; Mycobacteriales; Nocardiaceae
Also listed under: 1 other name
Description: Rhodococcus equi Glycine sequence
Rfam family: Glycine riboswitch aptamer
About the family: This family represents the bacterial glycine riboswitch. Glycine riboswitches usually consist of two metabolite-binding aptamers domains with similar structures in tandem.
Source: RNAcentral